This 1464-nucleotide long non-coding RNA is filed under the name Homo sapiens (human). Its description in RNAcentral is "HSALNT0341072". The record is from RNAcentral. Lineage: Eukaryota; Metazoa; Chordata; Mammalia; Primates; Hominidae.
ACUUGUGCCCAGAGUUUGAUUUUCCACAGACCAGGUAGAGGCCAAGAGCCUCUCACAGACUCUGCAGCAGGGUUGCUAUGAUUAACUCUUAAGUACUCCACAACUACACGCUUUUGAAACUGGCGUUGGCAUAGCGUUAGUUCUGUGCAGGGCGGACGCAGCAGGACAGAAUCUCCCUGGGCAUCUUUUCGGAGCAUCAAUUUUACUGCAAAAUUUUGAAAAAACAAAUUUAAUUGAUUUCCAAGGUUUGUCAAGGAGGACAGAAACUCAGAGCACCCUGCACUUGGGGAUCGGCACUAGGAGCUGCUCUCUGGAUGGGGAGAUGGGAGCUAGCAGCUCACAAUGGGGUCACAAGACAGGAGUGUUAUUGGGAGAAUCCUGUUUUGUUGACAAAUACUGAGAUCAUCCAACUCACCAGGCAAAGUUGACUUGUGUAAGUGAUCUUCAGAUAUGAAAAGUGUGGAACCCAGCUGCUCCUCCUCAGAUAGGCGACAUGACAAUUGUAGGCCUGGAGGGAGAUGAGUUGACAACAUCCCUUCCCUAUAACCACUUGUUGGAUCUGAUCUCACAUACACAGACUCACUCCAAAGACUGACCUGGGUGUCUGCUUCUCAGCUUCAUUAACAGUGGGUGCUCACAAGUCUAGUAGUAACAGGAUCUUCUACACUGUAGCUGCUUCCAGUGUGAGCCAGACAAAUGUACUGAAUAUAGGCCUCAGAGGUGAUCCCACCACCUUCACAGCAAUGGUCCUUCCCCAGGAGCUUCCCCUGAGAAACGGGCCAUCCAGACCAUACUGCUGCUGAAUAAUGUCUCAUUGGAAAUCUCAACAUUCUUCAUUUAGAACACCACCGCCAAUAUCUACCAUAUGCCGGGAUUAUUGUGCAGGGUAAUUUUUAUUAUUACUUGAAUGUAUAUUUAUAUACUGCAGGAACUAUACAUGUUUAUGGCUAGAAUUACUGUUUUUCCUUAAUAUUAAGAUAGUAUUGGUAGAUUUAAUUAUCUGAAUUUAGUCAUUUGGCUCCAGUCAAAAUGGUUUCUCCUUAGCAGUACUCUGACUUUGUAAAAGUAAUCACAUUUGGAUUCUGUUUCCUCCAGUAGUUUUUAAAAUGAUUUUUUUGAUUAUUCAUAUAACUUUUUUUUAAUGAUCUUUUAAAAACUAGUAUGUGGUUAUAUAUUACUUGUUACACUUUUUGUUUUCUUUAUUUUUUGGUUGGUUACACCUUAAAUGAUUAUUUCUAUUGCCUUUUAAUGUUACUUAGAAAAUAUCACAUGUAAGACUUUUGCUUUUAUAAAGUUAGUAAUACAUUUUCAAGCCUAAACUCUUGAAAUUUUAAUAAUUUCUAUGAUAUUUGAAAAUUAUUUUUAUCUUCUUUUGAGUGCUAAAAGAUAAUAUUUGUCUACCUGAUUAACUAGCACAACUUUUAAAAAGUUAUUUAGCACUCUUUAUAUUCAUUCAUUUGUUUU